This 301-nucleotide ribosomal RNA is filed under the name uncultured bacterium. RNAcentral describes it as "partial 16S ribosomal RNA". It matches the Rfam family "Bacterial small subunit ribosomal RNA", at positions 509 to 809 of the family's 1533-position model. The record is from RNAcentral.
CAGUCGCCACGGUAAUACGUAGGUGGCGAGCGUUAUCCGGAAUCAUUGGGCGUAAAGGGAGCGCAGGCGGGCAUGUAAGUCUUUCUUAAAAGUUCGGGGCUCAACCCCGUGAUGGGAGAGAAACUAUAUGUCUUGAGUACAGGAGAGGAAAGCGGAAUUCCCAGUGUAGCGGUGAAAUGCGUAGAUAUUGGGAGGAACACCAGUGGCGAAGGCGGCUUUCUGGACUGCAACUGACGCUGAGGCUCGAAAGCCAGGGGAGCGAACGGGAUUAGAUACCCCUGUAGUCCCUGUCUCUUAUACA